CGCUAUGCUCAGCCAUAAACUCUGAUAGACCAUUACAUCCGCUAUCCGCCCGGGUACUACGAGCGUAAGCUUAAAACCCAAAGGACUUGGCGGUGCUUAACAUCCCCCUAGAGGAGCCUGUCCUGGAACCGAUAAUCCCCGUUCAACCUCACCCUCUCUUGUUCUUCCCGCCUAUAUACCUCCGUCGUCAGCUUGCCCUUUGAAGGUCCCAUAGCAAGCACAAUUGGUACUACCCAAAACGUCAGGUCGAGGUGUAGCUAAUGAGAGGGGAAGAGAUGGGCUACAUUUCCUAAAUUAGGAAAUACACGGAUAGUAAUUCUGAAAUGAAAACUAGAAGGAGGAUUUAGUAGUAAGUAGAAAGCAGAGUGUCCUACUGAACCCGGCCCUUAAGCGUGCACACACCGCCCGUCACUCUCCCCGAGCACAAGCAAUCCACAUAAUUAAAACACCACCCAGUGCGCCAGGGGAGGCAAGUCGUAA
RNAcentral lists this ribosomal RNA (480 nucleotides) under Pycnochromis lineatus (lined chromis). RNAcentral's name for it is "Chromis lineata (lined chromis) partial small subunit ribosomal RNA". It matches the Rfam family "Bacterial small subunit ribosomal RNA", at positions 788 to 1491 of the family's 1533-position model. The record is from RNAcentral. Lineage: Eukaryota; Metazoa; Chordata; Actinopteri; Pomacentridae.